CUUUCACAAAGUGGGAUCCCGGCCUUGUUGUAGUACUGUUUCCCAGCCAGGGGGAUGUGACAAGAUCUGCACUGGAAGCAGCCUUCGUGCUCCGUGGAAAGGAAUGCUGCGGUGAUGUCACGGCUGCAGGAAGGAGCAUGCCCACGAAUGAUACAAUCCCAGGACCACCACACUUCGCCCCUCCACCCCCCUCAAAGCCAAAAUCCUCAUUAAACCCUAUGAACCUCUUCAGUUCCACARGACUUUUCACUUUGAAGAAUGAGAAAGAAAAAAUGAAGAAAAAAAAAACACAACAGAUGGGAAAUAAAGCUAAAUGAGAAGGAUGGAAAAUGAGUUUUUUAACACUUUUUUCAACACCACUUCAAACCUGGAAAACAGAUCCUAGAUUAGUUGUUGUUUUGCUUCUGUAAUAAAAAUGUUGAUAGAU
Austrofundulus limnaeus is the source of this 427-nucleotide long non-coding RNA. RefSeq lists it as uncharacterized. The record is from RefSeq and is a predicted model, not a curated record. The transcript has 2 exons. Lineage: Eukaryota; Metazoa; Chordata; Actinopteri; Cyprinodontiformes; Rivulidae.